RNAcentral lists this non-coding RNA (29 nucleotides) under Mus musculus (house mouse). Lineage: Eukaryota; Metazoa; Chordata; Mammalia; Rodentia; Muridae. The record is from RNAcentral.
GGCAAAUGUAAGCUACAGGACCAGGAAGC